UGAUUUCAUGAAAAUACUCUCAUUAUUUAAGGGCCACCAAAUUAAGCUUAAGGGCUUUUUUGCCCUUCCCCAAAUCCCAAAAAAUAAACCCAAAUAAAUUUGAUCUCUCUCCCGUCAGAAAUCCCUUUAACUCUUUCAUCUUCUCAUUCUAUUCUUAAUCAGCUGGCAGAGAUGAAUUCCUUGAAGUCUUAAGCUUCAUUUUCGACUUCUAAUAUCAAUUUUGUAAGCCCAAUCUAAAUCUCGAAGAAUUUCUAUAGUCCCCCAAAUUUUCCCUUUUCUUUUCAACUUAAUGUCGAUUUUUUUUAUAGAUCUUACUGCAAGUUCAUCCAUGAUUCAGGAUUUUUGAUAUUAUACAAGUAAAAUUGAUGGGAAACAUAGAGACAUCGACACUGGUGGUGGUACCACAACGUUCUAGUGUUGGGUCGUUGUAAGCACUCCUCAAAUUUGCACAUGUCUCACAAAUUUGGGGUUAAAGAUAAGUUCCGAGUGAAUUUUUUAAUCAUAGUAAAGUUUUAAUCUUGGGUCAAAAAUAGAUUUUUUAAAUCAAGAUGUACAUUUCACGUAGCGGUUUACUCUCACAAAUAUUUUGAUUUGCAAGCUCUUGAAGUUAUUGAGACAGAACGUUUUGAUAAUCAAGUAUUUUGCAGGGUAGUUGCGAUGCAAAUUGAGGGUGAUGACAAACUAGAAUUUUUUUCCAACCUCUACAGGUAUUACCCAUUGUUUGUCUCAACUUUUACAAGCUUAUGAUUAUACAAAUCAUGAAUUAGAAGUCGGAGGGUGCAAUGUUAAUUAUGAUUUGCAAUGUAGGAUUAUUGUUUAAGUUGUGAUUGUAUAUUACAAAGACAUUAAGAUCUGUUAUAUGCUCUCACGAACUAUGUUUUACAAACUAAAAUUUGUCUUUCCAACAUCUGCAGAGAUUCUCAAGUUGCAACUUACUUUUAUCCAUGGACUGAUUGUCUCAAGUUUUACAAGCUUAUAAUUGUACAAAGCAUGAAACUAAGAAGUUGGAGGGCGCAACUGCAUAAACAUUUGAUACUACAGAAGCUCUACAAGUUUUCAUAUUCAUAGCACUUGUAAUUCUUGAAAUAGGGAGGAGAGUCACCUCUAAUAUUGUUGUCUGUAGAAAUUAGUAGUUUAUUUAUGAAUUUUGUAAGUAUUGGAGGUUAGGCCUAAAGUCCCCCUCGUCUUGUAGUCAUCUUAAACAUUUUAAGAAAUAUAGAACAGAUUCUUUCAGUUGCCAAAAAUGUUUCUAUCCAUAAUCAAAAAAUGAGUUGUUGCAACUUAUGAUUUCUGCAGUACUAUCUAUUAACAAUGACAA
RNAcentral lists this long non-coding RNA (1318 nucleotides) under Nicotiana tabacum (common tobacco). Its description in RNAcentral is "long non-coding RNA (NTAB_LNC003026)". Lineage: Eukaryota; Viridiplantae; Streptophyta; Magnoliopsida; Solanales; Solanaceae. The record is from RNAcentral.